RNA transcript from Phragmites australis (common reed), 1369 nucleotides. It is a transcript of the gene named probable inactive shikimate kinase like 1, chloroplastic, with no coding region annotated. The record is from RefSeq and is a predicted model, not a curated record. The transcript has 10 exons. NCBI's taxonomy places the organism in Eukaryota, Viridiplantae, Streptophyta, Magnoliopsida, Poales, Poaceae.
UGCGGAUAACGGGGGACGUGGCGGGCAAUAGAGGAACACGAAACAGCGUGACUGCGAGAGUGAGCAGCAGCCAUGGCGAUGCGAGCGGCGGCGGCGGCGGCGAGCUUCUUCUCGCCCUCCCCCGUCUCCCCAAGGCCCUUCUUCUUCGCCACGCCACUGGUACCAUCCCCCACCGGGCGCUCCAUCUGUCGCCGUCGCAUCUGCGCCUUCCCAGGCUCGGAAUUGACUCUGGAGGAGCUCAACCCAUCCGUCGAGCUACUUAGGAAAACUGCGGAGGCCGUCGGUGACUUUAGGAAGACACCAAUCUAUGUCGUCGGCACGGAUUGCACCGCCAAGCGCAACAUCGCUAAGCUCCUCGCCAACUCCAUCAUAUACCGCUACCUCUGCAGCGAGGAGCUGCUCGAGGACGUUCUUGGAGGCAAGGACGCCCUCAGAGCUUUCCGGGAAUCCGAUGAGAAGGGCUACCUCGAAGUCGAGACCGAAGGGCUUAAGCAGCUGACGUCCAUGGGCAGCCUUGUGCUUUGCUGUGGGGAUGGUGCUGUCAUGAACUCAACCAAUCUAGGGCUACUGAGGCAUGGUGUUUCCAUCUGGAUUGAUGUUCCUCUCGAAGUGGCGGUGAACGAUAUGUUGAAGAGCAUGGGGACGCAAGCUAGUUCAGAUCCAGACUCCUUUUCUCAGGUAAUGGGCAAGCUCCGUCAGCAGUACGAUGAACUAAAAGAGCGCUAUGGAGUUUCUGAUAUUACUGUUUCAAUACAAAAUGUGGCUUCUCAGCUAGGCUACAGCAGUACCGACUCAGUGACCCUAGAGGACAUGGUCCUUGAAAUUGUGAAGCAAAUUGAGAGGCUGAUCCGAGCGAAGGAGAUGAUGGAAUCUGCUGGAAGGCCCUUCUAGACAAGAGUUGCAAGGUUUAACUUGGGCAACAUUCUUCAUUUGCCCAGGCCCUUGCCUUUGGCUUUUCCAUGGGUUACUUGAUCUCUUGGGUGAGGAUGGUUCAGAUUCGUAAAAAUGUGUCAUUUGGGCUGUAAUCUCUUCCCACAUUGGAGUUGGUCUGAAGUCUGAACUGCUAAUCGGUCCAAUCCUCCGGUUCUAUCAGUCUAGCUGACCAAUGAUGCUUCUUUGGGUAUAUUUUCCAUAGCAUUCAUCGAAAGUUUGUCUGCGAUACGUUGUUUUGUUGUUGGCAGACCAUGAGUCUUUUUCUGAAAUUGCAAGUUGUCAAAUGCACACGGAGUAGUAUGGCAAUUAAAAAAAUACAGGGAAGGGAAUCAUACAUACAUUACACAGAAUGAAUGGAUAUAAACUGUAUUGAAGUAUUGCACAUUGUGGCCAAGCACCAGGUGCUAAAUAUUCAAAUUAUGGCCUCUUAUAUUUA